UGGGGAAUAUUGCACAAUGGGCGAAAGCCUGAUGCAGCAACGCCGCGUGAGUGAUGAAGGUCUUCGGAUUGUAAGCUCUGUCUUUUGGGACGAUAAUGACGGUACCAAAGGAGGAAGCCACGGCUAACUACGUGCCAGCAGCCGCGGUAAUACGUAGGUGGCGAGCGUUGUCCGGAUUUACUGGGCGUAAAGGGUGCGUAGGCGGAUGUUUAAGUGAGAUGUGAAAUACCCGGGCUUAACUUGGGUGCUGCAUUUCAAACUGGAUAUCUAGAGUGCAGGAGAGGAGAAUGGAAUUCCUAGUGUAGCGGUGAAAUGCGUAGAGAUUAGGAAGAACACCAGUGGCGAAGGCGAUUCUCUGGACUGUAACUGACGCUGAGGCACGAAAGCGUGGGUAGCAAACAGGAUUAGAUACCCUG
RNAcentral lists this ribosomal RNA (416 nucleotides) under uncultured bacterium. Its description in RNAcentral is "partial 16S ribosomal RNA". It matches the Rfam family "Bacterial small subunit ribosomal RNA", at positions 355 to 789 of the family's 1533-position model. The record is from RNAcentral.